Molecule: non-coding RNA, 75 nt
Organism: Azospirillum brasilense
Lineage: Bacteria; Pseudomonadati; Pseudomonadota; Alphaproteobacteria; Rhodospirillales; Azospirillaceae
Source: Rfam
CCGUAACGCACUUCUUGGGCGUUUCCUCCCUAGACUCGGGCCGGGGCCUUUGCCCCGGCCUUUUUUUGUGCGCGG